UGGGGUGUGGCUCAGAGGUAGAGUGCUCGCCUAGCAUGCGUGAGGCACUGGGUUUGAUCCUCAGCACCACAU
This 72-nucleotide transfer RNA is filed under the name Ictidomys tridecemlineatus (thirteen-lined ground squirrel). RNAcentral describes it as "Spermophilus tridecemlineatus (thirteen-lined ground squirrel) tRNA". It matches the Rfam family "tRNA". From Rfam's summary of the family: Transfer RNA (tRNA) molecules are approximately 80 nucleotides in length. Their secondary structure includes four short double-helical elements and three loops (D, anti-codon, and T loops). The record is from Rfam by way of RNAcentral. Lineage: Eukaryota; Metazoa; Chordata; Mammalia; Rodentia; Sciuridae.